This 1018-nucleotide long non-coding RNA is filed under the name Marmota monax (woodchuck). The record is from RNAcentral. Lineage: Eukaryota; Metazoa; Chordata; Mammalia; Rodentia; Sciuridae.
GCAACACCACGCCUACGUCCCACCCCUCACACUUUCAAACGCUCCACCAGUACUACCUCCCUGUGGCCUGUCCAAUUCUGAUGGUCCCUCAGAACUUGCUACCUAUCCCAGAAGCCCCACCCCUGGGGGGUCAUACCUCACCCAACUUUUCCAGCUGCCUUGCCUCCCACCUCCCGGGGUCCUCCCGGAGGCUUCUCUUCUCGAUGCUCCGCCCUGCGCUUCUCCCCUUCUUCUCUUGAACUCCAGGGUACGUGGCUCUUGCGCCCUCUACCGGCCUGAUCCUCCCAGGCCUCUGAGCCCUGGACAGAUAAGCCACUUCUACCCCCAGCCAUCGGAGAACUGGGAAGACUUCACUUCCUUUUAUUUUUUUUUUUUAAAUAUUUUAAUAUUUAUUUUUUUUGACAGACACAACAUCCUUGUUUGUAUGUGGUGCUGAGGAUCGAACCCGGGCCGCACACAUGCCAGGCGAGCGCGCUACCGCUUGAGCCACAUCCCCAGCCCCUUCACUUCCUUUUAGUGUUUCCAAGUCCGCUUAGUUUUUACAAACCUUCGCAAGGCUCCCUGUCCCUUCUUCGGCCUCACCCUCAAAAAGGGCUCCGACAGGAAUGCGCUUGAUUGCCCACUGCCAAAUUUAAAUUUCUUCCAGCGACUGCUCCAUCCUGGCAAGAAACGUAUAGGUUGUUUCUCCUGUUUCACACUAAUCUACUUUGCUCCUUUGCCCGUCUGGCGAGUCUUUUUCGCGUAUUCUGGAGCCACCUGCUUCCCCACUCUCUCCUGGCUGUUAGGUCCCUUUCAUCCUCGCUGGCCCAAUUUAAGCACAGGACCCCAUCUGAAUAAACGAAAAUUUGCAGAACACCUAUGAUGUAGGGUAAUAUUGUUUCAUUCAUUUGAUUUAAUCCUCAAGCUACCCUUGGAGAUAGAUAUUUUUGGAGAAGUGACUUUGACCAGUGUCAGGAAAAAAUUCAGGAAAAAAUGGCAGCUCCUGCUGACUCAAAUUCAGAUUUUAGGCAGGCAUGGU